AAAUGAAUUCAUCAGGGUAGUAAUCAUGAUAUGUAUCACAAUGACAAUGAUUAAUAAUGAAAGUUACACAAAUUAUAAGGAGAAGGCUGAAGGAGGAUGGAAUAUAUAGUUAUAUCAAAGAGUCUAAGUCAUAUACUAAGGUAAUACUUUCACAGCAAUCUCCAGGUUCAUUACUAAACCACAGGAUACUCCAAAAAUCACACUUUAUCAUUUGAACCAUUUCAAUUAUUGGUAGACUCUGGAGAAGGCAAAAUAUUAUUCUACCUUCCAAAGGCACUACAUACAGAACCCAAAUGAAAAAUGAAGGGAGAAGAGAUAUUACAUAUAAAGAGGGCCUCAGAGGAUUUUGGCAGCAUUGACAGUGAUGAGGUAAGAGAAGAAAUAAAAAGAGCAUAUCCCAUUUCAAUUCAACAUGCCUGUUAGCCUGUAUAAGCUCAAGCUUUUCUAUAUGAUUACAUGUACAAGUUUUCUUACUGAUACAGGUGACAUAAUAUUAGGGAAAUAUAAAAUGUAAAGAAAAUAAAAAUAAUAUGUUACGGUAAGUCAAGUAUGUGCCAAGAUAUAAGCAUGUUAUACCAGAUAAAACUAACAUAACAUGUACUAACAACCAUUGGACCAGUAAUUAGUGACACAUGAUUCCAGAGACUUAGAUGAAAUCUUCCAAGAUACCUACAGAGAUAAAACUGCAGUUCCAGACCUACAAUGAGAAGAAACUAAAUAUGAGAUUAAUCAUAUCCCCACCUUAUCGUAUAAUGCUCACAACUGGAUUUAUUUUCUUGGAACAUGCACAGUAAGAAGUCCUGUUGCUAAAACUAGCAAACGGAAGAGUAAAAGGACAUGUUAUGUAAACACAAUACCUUUUCUUGUAAGGAAAACAGCUAGGAUAUGCUGUACACAUUACAUUGCCUUUUGUAAUCUGGCCAUUUUGUGAUAGGUAUAAACAGAGAGGCUGUGAUACUUCAUAAUUGCAAUAUAGAUUUGUUUCUGUAAUACGGUUGUGGCUGCCUGAUCAAUUCACAUAAUAGUCUCAAUCACUCUUUCCCCUUUUGCAAGGUGGAUGUACUACUCAUUGAAAAAUUGCAAUUCAAGCAUAUACAUCUCCUAUCAAUUUCAUCCAUGGGUUAUCAUCAUCAACAAGCCUCUGUGAGUUUAAAUACUGCAUCAACUUCGUCACAUGUUGAAGACUGGCAGAUGUCG
Molecule: long non-coding RNA, 1197 nt
Filed under: Setaria italica (foxtail millet)
Lineage: Eukaryota; Viridiplantae; Streptophyta; Magnoliopsida; Poales; Poaceae
Description: long non-coding RNA (SITA_LNC006704)
Source: RNAcentral